This 299-nucleotide long non-coding RNA is filed under the name Equus asinus (donkey). Its description in RNAcentral is "lncRNA (ENSEASG00005027304.1)". Lineage: Eukaryota; Metazoa; Chordata; Mammalia; Perissodactyla; Equidae. The record is from RNAcentral.
CACAGGCCCAGAAGUUAUUUCCCAGGAGCCAGCCAAGGGCUAGUCCUAAAGAGAGAACUUUCUUUCUUGUUUGUAGUUAGGCUGGGGCUGUCGGCCUAGGCUCUGGACAAAACGAUGCAGGUGGAAAGCUCGUCUCUUUCAGGUUUGGUCCUUAAUAGCCAGCAUCAUCUGCCAGUCUGCUCUUUCCCCAAUUUGACAACGUUGGGGGCCAUGAGUUCCAGAUGGCAUAAACUUGGAGGACGGCUGCCCAAUACACAAUUGGACAUCUCAGGAGCCAGGAUUAAACUUCUGUAUUGAGC